UACGUAGGGGGCAAGCGUUGUCCGGAUUUAUUGGGCGUAAAGAGCGUGUAGGCGGCCAAGCAGGUCCGCUGUGAAAACUCGAGGCUCAACCUCGAGACGUCGGUGGAAACCGUUUGGCUAGAGUCCGGAAGAGGAGAGUGGAAUUCCCGGUGUAGCGGUGAAAUGCGCAGAUAUCGGAAAGAACACCCGUGGCGAAGGCGGCUCUCUGGGACGGUACUGACGCUGAGACGCGAAAGCGUGGGGAGCGAACAGG
This 253-nucleotide ribosomal RNA is filed under the name uncultured bacterium. RNAcentral's name for it is "partial 16S ribosomal RNA". It matches the Rfam family "Bacterial small subunit ribosomal RNA", at positions 524 to 776 of the family's 1533-position model. The record is from RNAcentral.